AUCUCCUGCCUCAGUUGCCCCCUUAGGCACCUGAGGUCUCACAUUUAGAUUGCUGGAAUCAGGCUGGCGAUGGAGCUCAGUGGUAGAUUGCUUUCCUAGCAUGUGUGGUGCUCUGGGUCCAAUGCCCAGCAGUGCUGAAGGGAAAAGAGGAAAGCAAUCAGCAGCCCCCUGACAUAGAUCACAGGCCCCAUCCGCUGUCCUCUACCCUGUUGUACAUUCUGUGGGUUUUGCUAAAUAAGAAUUACAGGAGGUCAUUGUUUUGGACCAAGUUCCUGUACUAGGCCCCUACAGACCAGACUAAAAAUCAAAAUGGAGUCACUCAUACUAAAGUUCUGUGUCACCAAGCUGAAAAUACACUACUUAUCUAACCUCCUCAGAGAAAGGAUUAGAGAGAUAACAGCCAGAUUUCCCAAACAGCCCACUUUCCAUUGGCAUGAUAAUGAAGUUCCUUUGCCUUAAUCCUUUCACAAAGAUGGUAAUUUAAAGUAACUGCUGCUAACCAACCAAUUUAAAAAAAAAAAAUUCUGUCUCUCUGUCCCCAUCUUAUAAGGAAAGGAAUUUUGAAAUGACUAAGUCACUUUUUAUUUUUUGUGUCUGCUUUCUUCAGUCCUUCUUUGCCUAUAAAACCACCUUCUGCAGUUUGGCUAUUGGAACAUUUGCUCUACUUUAUGAAACUGUUACUGAAAUUCUAGGCCAGAGGCCCAGCUCUGGUGGCCCCAACAGCCUCCAGCAUUCAGUUAGUGAGACAAAUGUGGUGAAGUAGGAAAGGAAUUUAUUCAGUGUGGCCAUAUGCAGAAGAACAGGGGGACCUAUGUCCCAAGGCCUAUCUUGAGGGUACCAACAAGAAGAGGGAUUAUAAAAGUGGGGAGAGUGAGAAGUAUGCAUAGUCAAGCAGUUGUGAUCCAACUGUGGUCUGGUUAAUCAUUAACUCGGUCUGGCUCCAAGAGAUCUUACUGGAGAAAUCAUUAUUGCUUUAGGGGCAAUUCCAUUCUGGUCAUGAGAUAAUUGCUCAUGCCUGGAGUGGGGAUGUGGCCUCAGUUCCCAUCACAGGGUAUAAGCCAACAGCCUCACUGUUUCUGGAAGGACCUGAGAGAUCAGGCCAGAGCAGCAAAAUGGAGUCAGUCAGGACAAUGGCUGGAUCUUCCUUCAGGCCAGAGACAAAAACCUCUGAGGAUGACUGAUGCUGGGACUUCCCAGGCAAUGCCAGAAGACACAGACUAAAGAUCCAGGCUCCCUUCAGACCCACCUCCAUCCUUUCCUCCUGGGAAUAACUAUGUCGACGGUUUCCAUAAUGCAGGCAUCUCAGACUUCUCAGCAUCUGCUCAAUGCAGGCUCCUUUAGAACCCCAGAAGAAAUAUCAUCCAAUAACCAGCAAAUAUCCCUGGCCUCCCCAGAAUGCAGUGUUGCCAGUGACCCUGGUGGUAAUGACCCUCAGAGGAAAAUCUGAGCAAGCACAGAGCCAGCUGGGGAAAACUCCCCACCCCAGGAGGUGUAGCCCUGAGACUUCAAAGGGCACACUGCCUGCCUCUUUGGCCUAGCAGCAAUUAGAAUUCUUCCUCCGCAUCAAGUGCACAGAGAUGAGACAGGUGGAGAUGCACUGAAGAUCUGUCUUCAGCCAGCACCCCAGCUUUCACUAUGGUGACUCUCAGGACACAACAUGACACUUGGCCUCCAUUCCACGCUUGGGUCCCCAGUGGAGGAUGAAUUCAUAUCCACAGCAGCACAAAGCCUGAGCUCCAGCCAGUCUCCAAGUUGGAGUCUGUCCUUCGGUGUCAUUGAUUUGGGUCCUGCUUGGCAUGGGG
Heterocephalus glaber (naked mole-rat) is the source of this 1802-nucleotide long non-coding RNA. The record is from Ensembl. NCBI's taxonomy places the organism in Eukaryota, Metazoa, Chordata, Mammalia, Rodentia, Bathyergidae.